GACUUUGGCCAUACCACCUUGAUACCAGAAGCUAAGCAGGGUCAGAUCUGGCUAGUACUGGGAUGGGAGACCACCUGGGACUACCGGAUGCUGUAGGAU
Molecule: non-coding RNA, 99 nt
Organism: Macaca mulatta (Rhesus monkey)
Lineage: Eukaryota; Metazoa; Chordata; Mammalia; Primates; Cercopithecidae
Source: Rfam